AACGAACGCUGGCGGCAUGCCUAACACAUGCAAGUCGAACGAGACGGUCCGGUCUAGGGGCGCACGGGGGCGUAACGCGGGGGAACCUGCCCGUAGGUUCGGAAUAACUCCCCGAAAGGUGUGCUAAGACCGGUUAAGGUCUUCGCACCAAAGAUUUAUCGCCUUUGGGUGGGGGCGCGUUGGAUUAGCUGGUUGGGAGGGUAAAAGCAUACCAAGGGCACGAUCCAUAGCUGGUCUGGGAGGAGGCUACGCCACGCUGGGGCUGCGACCCGGCCCAGUAUGCUACGGAACGCAGGAGUGGGGUGUAUUGGGGAAUGGACCCAAGCCUGAUCCAGCCACGCCGCGUAAGUGAUCAAGCCCUUUGUGUUCUACUGCUCCUUUACACGGGAUGUUAAUGACAGUACUGGGAGAAUAAGCACCGGCUAACUACGUG
This 433-nucleotide ribosomal RNA is filed under the name uncultured bacterium. Its description in RNAcentral is "partial 16S ribosomal RNA". It matches the Rfam family "Bacterial small subunit ribosomal RNA", at positions 29 to 507 of the family's 1533-position model. The record is from RNAcentral.